UGAUGGUGGUGUGGGCAAUCAUGGAGAAUGAACAUGAAACUUUCCCAAGAUUGAUAUAGAUUUUCACCAUAUUUCUACCUAAAACUUAAUUUUCACUUCUCAAUCA
Capsicum annuum is the source of this 106-nucleotide non-coding RNA. Lineage: Eukaryota; Viridiplantae; Streptophyta; Magnoliopsida; Solanales; Solanaceae. The record is from Rfam.